This is an RNA transcript of Tarenaya hassleriana, 1382 nucleotides long. It is a transcript of the gene named calcium-transporting ATPase 8, plasma membrane-type-like, with no coding region annotated. The record is from RefSeq and is a predicted model, not a curated record. The transcript has 6 exons. Lineage: Eukaryota; Viridiplantae; Streptophyta; Magnoliopsida; Brassicales; Cleomaceae.
UUUGCUCUUGUAUUAGGUUCAAGGAUUAUCGAAUUUCCUGAAGAAAGGUAUCCAUGGUGAUGAUGAUGACAUUGUAAAGCGGAAUCAAAGAAGGAUGGUAUGGUGGAGGCAGCAUUGCAUUUGCAGUCGUUCUUGUUGUAGCUUUCAUGCUGUCACCGCGACAGUGACAGUUUUCUCUGGAAAGCCUGCCAAGGUCUCACUUUGAUAGUUGUGAUGAUCGCAGCAGAAGCUUCGUUAGUGCUCAGGAUCAAAACAGAGGGAAUCAAAGAAGGAUGGUAUGGUGGAGGCAGUAUUGCAUUUGCAGUCGUUCUUGUUGUCACCGUGACAAGUAUUAUGGUUUUUUUAAAACGCAAACGUGGAAAAGAGACGCAUACAUCUGGAGGCAAGUAAUGCACUGGGGAUAAGAGGUGGUAGGCGAGUUGAAAUUUCAAUAUAUGGCAUUGUAGUGGGUGAUGUGGGGGCCCCCACCAAUGGAAAUCUGGUCACUGAUGGAUGAUAUUCCAGUAUUCCUUUUGUUUGUUUUGUUGUUUCCUGUUUCUUGGUGUGUCAUAGUUAUCUCUAACAUAUAUAGAUUUUGUUGUAUGGGAUAUCUUCUGUAGAUUCCAGCGGGUGGGUAUUAAUAUCAGGCCACUCGCUUGCCCUUGAUGAGUAUAGAAUGACUGGGUUGAGCAAAAGAUUGCGUUUCUUCCAAUGAUACUGAAGUUGGCGAUCAUAUCAUAAUCUGCGUUUUGAUAUGAUGUUUAACUUCUCUUUCUUGAUAGGUUGAAAAUGAUGCUAGCAAGGGCCCAUUCUUAAUGUCUUGUUGUAAAGUUGCAGAUGACAAAGGCAUAAUUCCGGUAGGUUAUGUGUUUUUAUGUCUUUCUUGUGACAAAGGCGUCAUUCCGAUAGGUUGUGUUUUUUGUCUUUCCUGCUCGUUAUUGUCCUCUGAAUUAUCUGGUUUGCAUGAAAAAAAAUGGUUUAUGUAAAACUGAAAAACAAAAAGACUACUAGAGUCAAAUGAUGUUUGAAGUGUUUAUGAGGACUGUAAAUUUUAUGAAUAUGGGUAACUAACUAACCUAUUUUCUGUCCUCAAAGGUCACUGUUGUUGGUAUCGGCACCGAGUGGGGAUUGUUGAUGGCUUGUAUUUCAAAAGAAAACGGCGAAGAAACUCCUGUGCAUGUAGAAAAUGUUUUAAAUGAGCUUACUAUUCGGUGUAUUAGCAUUUACAUAUAUUGUUAAACUUACGACAUGUCUCAAUCAGGUUUGCCUAAACGGAGUGGCUGAUUUUUAAUGGAAUUGUUGGUCUGUAUCUUGCUCUUUGUUGGCAAGAUAUAGUCGGUAUAAUACUACGUACUGAAGUAAAGUUUUUGCUAGCUAUAUAGUCGGUAUAAAGCUAAAUAGCU